Molecule: ribosomal RNA, 497 nt
Filed under: uncultured bacterium
Lineage: Bacteria
Description: partial 16S ribosomal RNA
Rfam family: Bacterial small subunit ribosomal RNA
Source: RNAcentral
GAUGAACGCUGGCGGCGUGCCUAAUACAUGCAAGUCGAGCGAACGGACGAGAAGCUUGCUUUUCUGAUGUUAGCGGCGGACGGGUGAGUAACACGUGGAUAACCUACCUAUAAGACUGGGAUAACUUCGGGAAACCGGAGCUAAUACCAGAUAAUAUUUUGAACCGCAUGGUUCAUAAGUGAAAGACGGUCUUGCUGUCACUUAUAGAUGGAUCCGCGCUGCAUUAGCUAGUUGGUAAGGUAACGGCUUACCAAGGCAACGAUGCAUAGCCGACCUGAGAGGGUGAUCGGCCACACUGGAACUGAGACACGGUCCAGACUCCUACGGGAGGCAGCAGUAGGGAAUCUUCCGCAAUGGGCGAAAGCCUGACGGAGCAACGCCGCGUGAGUGAUGAAGGUCUUCGGAUCGUAAAACUCUGUUAUUAGGGAAGAACAUAUGUGUAAGUAACUGUGCACAUCUUGACGGUACCUAAUCAGAAAGCCACGGCUAACUACGUG